Vitis riparia (riverbank grape) is the source of this 1863-nucleotide RNA transcript. It is a transcript of the gene named E3 ubiquitin-protein ligase RING1, with no coding region annotated. NCBI's taxonomy places the organism in Eukaryota, Viridiplantae, Streptophyta, Magnoliopsida, Vitales, Vitaceae. The record is from RefSeq and is a predicted model, not a curated record. The transcript is spliced from 5 exons.
GAAACGCUUCAUAGUCUUCCUCCUGCCUCUCUCCAUUGUCUGGCAAUAAAAUCUUCCUCCAAAACGAUGUCGCUUAGUGGCUUCUCCGGCGGCAGCGGCGGCGGCGGCCCUGGUGGUGGCUCCGCCGCUCCUCAGUCCUACUUCUGCUACCAGUGCAACCUUACGGUCUCCAUCACCCCUUCUCCCACCUCCGAUCCUCUCUGCCCUCAUUGCAACGAUGGCUUUCUCGAGGAGGUUGAAAACCCUAAUCCUAACCCUAUCCCCGUCCCAAUCCCCAAUCCCUUCUUAGGUUUCUCCGAUUUGCCCUCUCUAUCCGCAGCCGGCGCCACAGCCACUGCCUUCCCUCCGCUUGUCUUCUCAACCGCUGCCGGAGGGAGCAUCGAUCUCCAGAACUCCGUCGAUUUCCCCGGUCUGUUCGGGGAAGACCCCGAUGCGUUCCACCCCUUUGCUUUCCUACAGAAUUAUCUGCAAACCCUAAGGGCAGGUGGCACGAACGUUCAAUUUGUGAUUGACGGUAACUCGCCGGAGGGUACGUUCCGGCUUUCGCCAAACCUCGGGGACUACUUCAUUGGACCGGGGCUGGAGCAGCUGAUCCAGCAGCUGGCGGAGAACGAUCCGAACCGGUACGGUACGCCGCCGGCAUCGAAAUCAGCGAUUGAGGGGCUUCCGACCAUUCGGAUUACGGUGGAAUUGUUGGGAACGGAUUCGUCGCAGUGUGCGGUGUGCAAGGACAGCUUUGAGCUCGAUGAGGAGGCCAAGCAGAUGCCUUGUAAGCACAUUUACCAUAACGAUUGCAUUCUACCUUGGUUGGAACUGCAUAAUUCGUGUCCGGUCUGUCGGUACGAGUUGCCCACCGAUGAUCCCGACUACGAGCACCGCACUCGGGGUGGCCAAGUCAAUCAAACUGGCGGAAAUGCUGCUGCGGUGGCUGCUGCUGGGGCUGCUUCGAACUCAGCUUCUGGUGCUGCUGGUGGGGCAGCAGUUUCUGGAGAGAAUCCGAAUCCUCAGACCCCUAGGACUGGAGAAAGGAUGUAUAGGAUCUCAUUUCCAUGGCCGUUUCGGACAUUUGGAUCCCCUGCUGAGACUAGCAACAGCAACAAUGAUGGGGAAUCGGGGAACAGGGCAAAUCAGGGGUCUGGAUCAGAAAACAGGCAAGGAGAUCAGACUUGAGGAAUAUGGGUAGAAGAGUCUGCUCAAUGAGAUGGUGGUCUGCAGGGAUAGAAAGGACACUAUUAGGUUCAGGCUGGAUGGAACUGGGGGAGAUUCACUGUCAAGUCCCUUGUUCAGGCAAUAUGUAGUAGGAAGAGUAGAAGCUUUCUAACUUCUAUUCUUUUAUGUGGUAGCAGCCCCCUCUGAGGCGAAGUAGUGCUUCCCUCAUAGGAUGGAGAAAAAUCCUCACUAUGAUCAAUUAAUGAGGAGAAGAAAGAUUGGUUUUGAAGCUGAAGGACAUCUGAAAGAUGUCUAGUAUGAAGAAAUGUAACAAAAAGCUAUUGCACUAUCCAUAUUUGAUGAACAUGACGAGGUAAUGGGUUAUUUAUGAAUUCCUGCAAAUUGGCAGCUAAAAUAAACUUGAAGGAUGGUACAUGGUUAUGUAAGAGAUAUGGUAAGAGAAAGGGGUUCAAAUCUGUAACCAUUGUUGAACAUAGAAACAAUCUUCUUCUUAUACAUCGAAGACUAGUGACAGAUGUUUUUUUCAUUUUAUGUUUGGGCAUAAUAAUAAUGGGUAAAUGUCUUUUAUUUUCAUUUUCAGAUUUCUUCAUCAUAUCACCAUUUCAGGAUGAAUUAUUUAGCUGCAUACCAUAUAAUUUUGUCUGGGAACCAUUUUAUAUUUUUCUUUCAAGAGUCUCACACUUUUGUGCAGUU